UCCCAGGAGAACAGAGGUGAUUUCCGAGG
Molecule: non-coding RNA, 29 nt
Filed under: Rattus norvegicus (Norway rat)
Lineage: Eukaryota; Metazoa; Chordata; Mammalia; Rodentia; Muridae
Source: RNAcentral